This 183-nucleotide unclassified non-coding RNA is filed under the name Oehlia diaphana. RNAcentral's name for it is "partial internal transcribed spacer region". The stretch from base 1 to 46 matches the Rfam family "Eukaryotic small subunit ribosomal RNA", at positions 1786 to 1831 of the family's 1831-position model. Lineage: Eukaryota; Fungi; Glomeromycota; Glomeromycetes; Glomerales; Glomeraceae. The record is from RNAcentral.
AAGUCGUAACAAGGUUUCCGUAGGUGAACCUGCGGAAGGAUCAUUAAUGAUUUUAGCUAACCUUGGCUAUUUUAGCCAAGGUUAUGCGAAAUUUUGUAUUUAAAACCCCACUCAUAUAAUAAAAAUUUUAUUAUAUUUAUGAUAAAAAUAAGAUCACUUUCAACAACGGAUCUCUUGGUUCUC